Molecule: ribosomal RNA, 710 nt
Filed under: uncultured bacterium
Lineage: Bacteria
Description: bacterial SSU rRNA
Rfam family: Bacterial small subunit ribosomal RNA
Source: RNAcentral
AGAGUUUGAUCCUGGCUCAGGAUGAACGCUGGCGGUAUGCUUUACACAAGCAAGUCGAACGAAAGUUUUUAACUUUAGUGGCGAACGGGUGCGUAAUACGUGAGAAUCUGCCCUUAGGAGGAGGAUAACUGCUGGAAACGGCUGCUAACACUCCAUAUGUCGAGAGAUGAAAAAUUUAUUGCCUAAGGAUGAGCUCGCGCCUGAUUAGCUAGUUGGUGAGGUAAUGGCUCACCAAGGCCACGAUCAGUAGCUGGUUUGAGAGAACGAUCAGCCACACUGGGUCUGAGACACGGCCCAGACUCCUCCGGGAGGCAGCAGUGUGGAAUUUUCCGCAAUGGGCGAAAGCCUGACGGAGCAAUACCGCGUGAGGGAUGAAGGAUUUUGGUCUGUAAACCUCUUUUCUCAAGAAAGAAGUUCUGACGGUACUUGAGGAAUAAGCAUCGGCUAACUCCGUGCCAGCAGCCGCGGUAAUACGGGGGAUGCAAGCGUUAUCCGGAAUCAUUGGGCGUAAAGCGCCUGUAGGUUGUUUAAUAAGUCUGUUGUUACAGACUAGGGCUCAACCCUAGAAAAGCAAUGGAAACUACUAGACUAGAGUAUGGCAGGGGUAGAGGGAAUUUCUAGUGUAGCGGUGAAAUGCGUAGAUUUUAGAAAGAACACCGGUGGCGAAAGCGCUCUACUGGACCAUUACUGACACUCAGAGGCGAAAGCUA